AAGCUACUAAGAGCGAAUGGUGGAUGCCUUGACUGGUAAAGGCGAUGAAGGACGUACUAGACUGCGAUAAGCUACGGGGAGCUGUCAAGAAGCUUUGAUCCGUAGAUUUCCGAAUGGGGCAACCCAAUGUAUAGAGAUAUACAUUACCUAUAUAGGAGCGAACGAGGGGAAUUGAAACAUCUUAGUACCCUCAGGAAAAGAAAUCAAUAGAGAUUGCGUCAGUAGCGGCGAGCGAAAGCGCAAGAGGGCAAACCCAGUGCUUGCACUGGGGGUUGUAGGACUGCAAUGUGCAAGAGGUAAGUUUAGCAGAACAUUCUGGAAAGUAUAACCAUAGAGGGUGAUAGUCCCGUAUGCGAAAAACAAACCUUAGCUAGCAGUAUCCUGAGUAGGGCGGGACACGAGGAAUCCUGUCUGAAUCCGGGUCGACCACGAUCCAACCCUAAAUACUAAUACCAGAUCGAUAGUGCACAAGUACCGUGAGGGAAAGGUGAAAAGAACUGAGGUGAUCAGAGUGAAAUAGAACCUGAAACCAUUUGCUUACAAUCAUUCAGAGCCCUAUGUAGCAAUACAGGGUGAUGGACUGCCUUUUGCAUAAUGAGCCUGCGAGUUGUGGUGUCUGGCAAGGUUAAGCAAACGCGAAGCCGUAGCGAAAGCGAGUCUGAAUAGGGCGCUUAGUCAGAUGCUGCAGACCCGAAACGAAGUGAUCUAUCCAUGAGCAAGUUGAAGCUAGUGUAAGAACUAGUGGAGGACUGAACCCAUAGGCGUUGAAAAGCCCCGGGAUGACUUGUGGAUAGGGGUGAAAGGCCAAUCAAACUUCGUGAUAGCUGGUUCUCUCCGAAAUAUAUUUAGGUAUAGCGUUGUGUCGUAAUAUAAGGGGGUAGAGCACUGAAUGGGCUAGGGCAUACACCAAUGUACCAAACCCUAUCAAACUCCGAAUACCUUAUAUGUAAUCACAGCAGUCAGGCGGCGAGUGAUAAAAUCCGUCGUCAAGAGGGAAACAACCCAGACUACCAGCUAAGGUCCCUAAAUCUUACUUAAGUGGAAAACGAUGUGAAGUUACUUAAACAACCAGGAGGUUGGCUUAGAAGCAGCCAUCCUUUAAAGAAAGCGUAAUAGCUCACUGGUCUAGUGAUUUUGCGCGGAAAAUAUAACGGGGCUAAAGUAAGUACCGAAGCUGUAGACUUGCACACAACUUAGAUUAUUUAAGUUUAGAAUAUGAGAAACUAAGUUAUAUGUUUAGUUAUAUUUUUACUGAUUUUUAUAGAGUAAAGAUAGAAAUAAAACUUAGUAAAAUCAGUAAAAAUAUUCUUAGACUAAAGUUAAGUAGUUUAAGUUGUGUGCAAGUGGUAGGAGAGCGUUCUAUUUGCGUCGAAGGUAUACCGGUAAGGAGUGCUGGAGCGAAUAGAAGUGAGCAUGCAGGCAUGAGUAGCGAUAAUUAAUGUGAGAAUCAUUAACGCCGUAAACCCAAGGUUUCCUACGCGAUGCUCGUCAUCGUAGGGUUAGUCGGGUCCUAAGUCGAGUCCGAAAGGGGUAGACGAUGGCAAAUUGGUUAAUAUUCCAAUACCAACAUUAGUGUGCGAUGGAAGGACGCUUAGGGCUAAGGGGGCUAGCGGAUGGAAGUGCUAGUCUAAGGUCGUAGGAGGUUAUACAGGCAAAUCCGUAUAACAAUACUCCGAGAACUGAAAGGCUUUUUGAAGUCUUCGGAUGGAUAGAAGAACCCCUGAUGCCGUCGAGCCAAGAAAAGUUUCUAAGUUUAGCUAAUGUUGCCCGUACCGUAAACCGACACAGGUGGGUGGGAUGAGUAUUCUAAGGCGCGUGGAAGAACUCUCUUUAAGGAACUCUGCAAAAUAGCACCGUAUCUUCGGUAUAAGGUGUGGUUAGCUUUGUAUUAGGAUUUACUCCGAAAGCAAGGAAACUUACAACAAAGAGUCCCUCCCGACUGUUUACCAAAAACACAGCACUCUGCUAACUCGUAAGAGGAUGUAUAGGGUGUGACGCCUGCCCGGUGCUCGAAGGUUAAUUGAUGGGGUUAGCAUUAGCGAAGCUCUUGAUCGAAGCCCGAGUAAACGGCGGCCGUAACUAUAACGGUCCUAAGGUAGCGAAAUUCCUUGUCGGUUAAAUACCGACCUGCAUGAAUGGCGUAACGAGAUGGGAGCUGUCUCAAAGAGGGAUCCAGUGAAAUUGUAGUGGAGGUGAAAAUUCCUCCUACCCGCGGCAAGACGGAAAGACCCCGUGGACCUUUACUACAGCUUGACACUGCUACUUGGAUAAGAAUGUGCAGGAUAGGUGGGAGGCUUUGAGUAUAUGACGCCAGUUGUAUAUGAGCCAUUGUUGAGAUACCACUCUUUCUUAUUUGGGUAGCUAACCAGCUUGAGUUAUCCUCAAGUGGGACAAUGUCUGGUGGGUAGUUUGACUGGGGCGGUCGCCUCCCAAAUAAUAACGGAGGCUUACAAAGGUUGGCUCAGAACGGUUGGAAAUCGUUCGUAGAGUAUAAAGGUAUAAGCCAGCUUAACUGCAAGACAUACAAGUCAAGCAGAGACGAAAGUCGGUCUUAGUGAUCCGGUGGUUCUGUGUGGAAGGGCCAUCGCUCAAAGGAUAAAAGGUACCCCGGGGAUAACAGGCUGAUCUCCCCCAAGAGCUCACAUCGACGGGGAGGUUUGGCACCUCGAUGUCGGCUCAUCGCAUCCUGGGGCUGGAGCAGGUCCCAAGGGUAUGGCUGUUCGCCAUUUAAAGCGGUACGCGAGCUGGGUUCAGAACGUCGUGAGACAGUUCGGUCCCUAUUCUGCCGUGGGCGUAAGAAGAUUGAAGAGAUUUGACCCUAGUACGAGAGGACCGGGUUGAACAAACCACUGGUGUAGCUGUUGUUCUGCCAAGAGCAUCGCAGCGUAGCUAAGUUUGGAAAGGAUAAACGCUGAAAGCAUCUAAGCGUGAAGCCAACUCUAAGAUGAAUCUUCUCUAAGCUCUCUAGAAGACUACUAGUUUGAUAGGCUGGGUGUGUAAUGGAUGAAAGUCCUUUAGCUGACCAGUACUAAUAGAGCGUUUGGCUUAUCU
RNAcentral lists this ribosomal RNA (3051 nucleotides) under Campylobacter jejuni. RNAcentral describes it as "23S ribosomal RNA". It matches the Rfam family "Bacterial large subunit ribosomal RNA". Lineage: Bacteria; Pseudomonadati; Campylobacterota; Epsilonproteobacteria; Campylobacterales; Campylobacteraceae. The record is from RNAcentral.